This 755-nucleotide ribosomal RNA is filed under the name Salmonella enterica. RNAcentral describes it as "partial 23S ribosomal RNA". It matches the Rfam family "Bacterial large subunit ribosomal RNA", at positions 1 to 688 of the family's 2925-position model. Lineage: Bacteria; Pseudomonadati; Pseudomonadota; Gammaproteobacteria; Enterobacterales; Enterobacteriaceae. The record is from RNAcentral.
GGGUUGUGAGGUUAAGCGACUAAGCGUACACGGUGGAUGCCCUGGCAGUCAGAGGCGAUGAAGGGCGUGCUAAUCUGCGAUAAGCGCCGGUAAGGUGAUAUGAACCGUUAUAACCGGCGAUACCCGAAUGGGGAAACCCAGUGUGACUCGUCACACUAUCAUUAACUGAAUCCAUAGGUUAAUGAGGCGAACCGGGGGAACUGAAACAUCUAAGUACCCCGAGGAAAAGAAAUCAACCGAGAUUCCCCCAGUAGCGGCGAGCGAACGGGGAGGAGCCCAGAGCCUGAAUCAGCAUGUGUGUUAGUGGAAGCGUCUGGAAAGGCGCGCGAUACAGGGUGACAGCCCCGUACACAAAACGCAUGUGCUGUGAGCUCGAUGAGUAGGGCGGGACACGUGGUAUCCUGUCUGAAUAUGGGGGGACCAUCCUCCAAGGCUAAAUACUCCUGACUGACCGAUAGUGAACCAGUACCGUGAGGGAAAGGCGAAAAGAACCCCGGCGAGGGGAGUGAAAAAGAACCUGAAACCGUGUACGUACAAGCAGUGGGAGCCCCACCACCAAAGCAUUCUCUGGUGUUGAAGGCCCUGCAAAGCAGCAUCGCGGUGGCGGAGCGUCGUUUGCGACGCCCAACACACAAAACAAGCGGUGAGUGCUUUGGGGUGGGGUGACUGCGUACCUUUUGUAUAAUGGGUCAGCGACUUAUAUUCUGUAGCAAGGUUAACCGUAUAGGGGAGCCGGAGGGAAACCGAGUCUUAAC